AAAUUGAAGAGUUUGAUCAUGGCUCAGAUUGAACGCUGGCGGCAGGCCUAACACAUGCAAGUCGAGCGGAAACGAGUUGUCUGAACCUUCGGGGGACGAUAACGGCGUCGAGCGGCGGACGGGUGAGUAAUGCCUAGGAAAUUGCCCUGAUGUGGGGGAUAACCAUUGGAAACGAUGGCUAAUACCGCAUGAUGCCUACGGGCCAAAGAGGGGGACCUUCGGGCCUCUCGCGUCAGGAUAUGCCUAGGUGGGAUUAGCUAGUUGGUGAGGUAAGGGCUCACCAAGGCGACGAUCCCUAGCUGGUCUGAGAGGAUGAUCAGCCACACUGGAACUGAGACACGGUCCAGACUCCUACGGGAGGCAGCAGUGGGGAAUAUUGCACAAUGGGCGCAAGCCUGAUGCAGCCAUGCCGCGUGUGUGAAGAAGGCCUUCGGGUUGUAAAGCACUUUCAGUCGUGAGGAAGGCGGUGUAGUUAAUAGCUGCAUC
Molecule: ribosomal RNA, 486 nt
Filed under: Vibrio parahaemolyticus
Lineage: Bacteria; Pseudomonadati; Pseudomonadota; Gammaproteobacteria; Vibrionales; Vibrionaceae
Description: bacterial SSU rRNA
Rfam family: Bacterial small subunit ribosomal RNA
Source: RNAcentral